Molecule: long non-coding RNA, 1771 nt
Filed under: Nicotiana tabacum (common tobacco)
Lineage: Eukaryota; Viridiplantae; Streptophyta; Magnoliopsida; Solanales; Solanaceae
Description: long non-coding RNA (NTAB_LNC000092)
Source: RNAcentral
ACAUAAUGUUGAGGGAAUUCUUUUCGGUGUCGAUGGAGCACGUCUUGAAAUACUCGGUAAGCAGGGUUUGCCUGUUGUUGUCCCACGCGAUGAUACUUUGCAAAUUACGGUUCUUCCAAUAAAAUACUAAGGGUUGAUAUAAAGUUAGAAUUUUCAUAUUUAUAAUUUUGUAUCAAAAUAUGCAGCAAUUUUAAGUGUGUAACUUUAAAAUUUGUGUACCUGAAUGUUUGUCGGGGAGAUGUAGUUGAAGGUUAAUAACUGGAGGUUGCAUUUCAUUUAGACUGAAUUCAUAAAUUCUCCAUACUGCUUCUGGUGGUGAAACCCACCUCGCAUCUUGAAAAAUUUGGAUCUCAUUAAUGAUUUUUUCUCCAUCACCAGACUCAAUAUAAACGACACACCUAUCAUGGCCUUUAUAUAUAUAUACUUGUAAAGGUAUUUUUUUGCCUUUACCCCGAGCAGACCUCGACAUUAAUUUGACAAUUGUAUCUCGUAAGAAGAUAAGCAUUAUAUGGCACAACCCAUUGGUUAUUCAUUUUCAUUCCGCGAACGGUCUCAAACCUUCCAUCAUUUCUUCUUUUGUAAAUUGGAUAGCCAUACUUUGCUUGCAUUGAUUUGUUGAUGAAAGAGCGAGGAUAAUGAUACCUGCAUUGUCCAUCUUGCAUGCAUGAAUUCGUUGGACGAUGUUGUCCACAUGGACCAUGCAUCAUAUGCUUGACUACUAAUUCAUGCAAGAGCGGAUAUUUAGAUUUGUUUGGAAUUUCUGCAGAUAUAAACUUAUCGUACUGAUCUGCUGUUUUUAUCUUGUGGCCUUCUUUCAAUAUGAGGAUAAGGUGUAUAUGAGGUAGCCCUCUCUUUUGCAACAAUUCCAAAUAUUUCUUUUUUGAAAAUUUGGUCUUUUAAGUCCUGCAGUUUUGUCACAAAAGCAACUAAUUUUUUUUCACUUUGAUCUUUUUAUCAAGCAUUGGAUUGUGUUUGUCAUUGUUAUCUUUAUUCUUGUUGCUCCUCUUCCUUCUUAGCUUAAUUAAUGGCGUGUCAACGUAAUUUCAUCGGUCGGAACAACUUUUAUAACUUCAUGUAUUUCCUCAGCAACCAAAUUGUUGCUCCUAUCUUCUUUUGCAAUUGUUCGAUCAAUCUUCACGAGAAUAUUGAAUUCUUUUCCCUUACUCAAAAUCAACUUGCGAUAAUACUUUGAUUCCUCUUUCUGUAGGAGUAAAAAUGCAAAUACAUUAGUAUAAAUAUCGGCUAAAACAUAUGGAGAACUUAUUCAACCUGAAUGUUUCUUUUGUCUAAUAUGUAUUUUACCUUUUCAGAUGGUGAAUCAACAUACUCUUUGACAUCGCAACCAAAAAAGUAUCAUGCACCGUCAAACAACCUAAUACUUAUAUAUUGUUCUUCCGUAGAAACAUCAAAGUUUAACCUAUAUCUAAAGCACAAUUCAAUAAUUAGAUCAUUAACUCUUCAAUUGUUAGUUCUGGAUAAUAUAUAUGUUCAUGUAUUUUACCUUUCAUCAUAAUCAAUAUCUUCUAUCUUACAGUAGCCACAAGUGGCACUACUCUUUAUAACAGUUACUCGCUUGUGGCAUUUCUUGCAAGCAUGGUACCAUGGGUCAUGGUUACUGUUGAUGUCAGUAAUUUUUGCUUUGAACUUACAAUAUAUGCCCUAUACUUAAAUUAGGAGGGACAUUUUGUUAGGUUGUAAACAUAUAAAUGUAGGAUACAUUGUGCUAGAUUUUUGAAGGUAAAUGUACCUUCAAGUUGACAAUUGAGCCGUC